GGAGUUCACUCCUGACACUCUCUCUAUUUAGGAGUAGGGUUAGAUUCCAACAUGCUGGACAGCUCAUGAGAAAUACUUUUCUGAAGAGGUUUUCAACCUGAUCACAUAGAUUCAAGAGAUUUGGAAGGCUCAGUUAGGUUCUGUACCCUGAGCUUCAGCUUCUUCAUUAUCUCAUCUCCUGUCAUCGGGGUGGAUGCUCAGAAUGAAGCUGAUCACAAGUUUCAACAACAACAGUCCAUUGAAACAUGUCUCAAAGCAGCUCUUUUUAAAAACAAAACAAAAACAAAACAAAAAACUUCUUAUAGCUUCGAAAGCAGUUGCGAGGACUCAUCCUUUGCCACAACCAAUUUAUAUUUGAAUAUUUUAAAUAUUUAACCUUUUAAGGCUUCUAAAGCAGCUGUGAGGAAACAAGGGAAAUCAAUAUGGUUUGCUACCAAAAUGCAAUGCUACAGAUUCUAUGAGUCUUCAGAAUACAGAAAUAUGUGUCACGUCAUAGUAUUAAAAAGGUGUCUCUUUC
Molecule: long non-coding RNA, 517 nt
Organism: Mauremys reevesii (Reeves's turtle)
Lineage: Eukaryota; Metazoa; Chordata; Testudines; Geoemydidae
Exons: 2
Source: RefSeq, a predicted model, not a curated record